CUACGGGUGGCAGCAGUGAGGAAUAUUGCACAAUGGGGGAACCCUGAUGCAGCAACGCCGCGUGGAGAAUGACGCAUUUCGGUGUGUAAACUCCUUUUAUAUGUCAAGAAAAUGACGGUAGCAUAUGAAUAAGCACCGGCUAACUCCGUGCCAGCAGCCGCGGUAAUACGGAGGGUGCAAGCGUUACUCGGAAUCACUGGGCGUAAAGGACGCGUAGGCGGGUUGGAAAGUCAGGUGUGAAAUCCUACAGCUUAACUGUAGAACUGCACUUGAAACUUCUAAUCUAGAGUAUGGGAGGGGGAGAUGGAAUUAGUGGUGUAGGGGUAAAAUCCGUAGAUAUCACUAGGAAUACCUAAAGCGAAGGCGAUCUCCUGGAACAUUACUGACGCUAAGGCGUGAAAGCGUGGGGAGCAAACAGGAUUAGAUACCCCCGUAGUC
RNAcentral lists this ribosomal RNA (438 nucleotides) under uncultured bacterium. RNAcentral describes it as "partial 16S ribosomal RNA". It matches the Rfam family "Bacterial small subunit ribosomal RNA", at positions 339 to 795 of the family's 1533-position model. The record is from RNAcentral.